RNAcentral lists this ribosomal RNA (331 nucleotides) under uncultured bacterium. Its description in RNAcentral is "bacterial SSU rRNA". It matches the Rfam family "Bacterial small subunit ribosomal RNA", at positions 568 to 897 of the family's 1533-position model. The record is from RNAcentral.
UGUGUAGGUGGCAAGAUAAGUUAGGUGUGAAAUCCUCGGGCUUAACCUGAGAAUUGCGCUUAAUACUGUCUGGCUAGAGUACUGCAGAGGGUAGUGGAAUUUCCAGUGUAGCGGUGAAAUGCGUAGAUAUUGGAAGGAACAUCAGUGGCGAAGGCGACUACCUGGAUAGAUACUGACACUGAAACACGAAAGCGUGGGUAGCAAACAGGAUUAGAUACCCUGGUAGUCCACGCUGUAAACGAUGAGAACUUGCUGUUGGGUGCAUAAAAGUACUUAGUAGCGGAGCUAACGCGUUAAGUUCUCCGCCUGGGGAGUACGGCCGCAAGGUUAA